RNAcentral lists this transfer RNA (70 nucleotides) under human gut metagenome. It matches the Rfam family "tRNA". Rfam says of the family: Transfer RNA (tRNA) molecules are approximately 80 nucleotides in length. Their secondary structure includes four short double-helical elements and three loops (D, anti-codon, and T loops). Further hydrogen bonds mediate the characteristic L-shaped molecular structure. tRNAs have two regions of fundamental functional importance: the anti-codon, which is responsible for specific mRNA codon recognition, and the 3' end, to which the tRNAs corresponding amino acid is attached (by aminoacyl-tRNA synthetases). tRNAs cope with the degeneracy of the genetic code in two manners: having more than one tRNA (with a specific anti-codon) for a particular amino acid; and 'wobble' base-pairing, i.e. permitting non-standard base-pairing at the 3rd anti-codon position. RNAcentral also lists the same sequence under 2 other names. The record is from RNAcentral.
ACCUUUAGCUCAGUCGGUCAGAGCAUCCGGCUCAUAACCGGUCGGUCCGGGGUUCGAGUCCCUGAAGGUC